This 468-nucleotide ribosomal RNA is filed under the name uncultured bacterium. RNAcentral describes it as "partial 16S ribosomal RNA". It matches the Rfam family "Bacterial small subunit ribosomal RNA", at positions 28 to 507 of the family's 1533-position model. The record is from RNAcentral.
GACGAACGCUGGCGGCGUGCUUAACACAUGCAAGUCGAACGGAAAGGCCCUGCUUUUGUGGGGUGCUCGAGUGGCGAACGGGUGAGUAACACGUGAGUAACCUGCCCUUGACUUUGGGAUAACUUCAGGAAACUGGGGCUAAUACCGGAUAGGAGCUCCUGCUGCAUGGUGGGGGUUGGAGAGUUUCGGCGGUUGGGGAUGGACUCGCGGCUUAUCAGCUUGUUGGUGGGGUAGGGGCUUACCAAGGCUUUGACGGGUAGCCGGCCUGAGAGGGUGACCGGCCACAUUGGGACUGAGAUACGGCCCAGACUCCUACGGGAGGCAGCAGUGGGGAAUAUUGCACAAUGGGCGGAAGCCUGAUGCAGCAACGCCGCGUGCGGGAUGACGGCCUUCGGGUUGUAAACCGCUUUCGCCUGUGACGAAGCGUGAGUGACGGUAAUGGGUAAAGAAGCACCGGCUAACUACGUG